This 87-nucleotide transfer RNA is filed under the name Ruminiclostridium papyrosolvens DSM 2782. RNAcentral's name for it is "[Clostridium] papyrosolvens DSM 2782 tRNA-Leu". The record is from RNAcentral. Lineage: Bacteria; Bacillati; Bacillota; Clostridia; Eubacteriales; Oscillospiraceae.
UGGUGCCGAAGACCGGAAUCGAACCGGUACGAUAUCACUAUCGCUGGAUUUUGAGUCCAGUGCGUCUGCCAGUUUCACCACUUCGGC